Molecule: ribosomal RNA, 253 nt
Filed under: uncultured bacterium
Lineage: Bacteria
Description: partial 16S ribosomal RNA
Rfam family: Bacterial small subunit ribosomal RNA
Source: RNAcentral
UACAGAGGGUGCAAACGUUGCUCGGAAUUAUUGGGCGUAAAGCGCGUGUAGGCGGCUUGUUAAGUUGGUCGUGAAAGCCCAUGGCUCAACCAUGGAAGUGCAACCAAAACUGGCAAGCUAGAGUCCCGAAGAGGAUGGCGGAAUUCCCAGUGUAGAGGUGAAAUUCGUAGAUAUUGGGAGGAACAUCGGUGGCGAAGGCGGCCAUCUGGGAGGGUACUGACGCUGAGACGCGAAAGCGUGGGUAGCAAACAGG